UGUGUUGCUUACCUGUCGAAAGGAAUACGAUCGUGUUGUUUCCCCUUUCCGCCCGAUGCCCUCUGUGGGUACGGGGUGGACGCCAGGCACGCUACGUGUUCCUCGCAUGCCUUGCCUAGUUGCGAUGCUGUUGAGGCCCAUGGAGCCGUCGCCCGUUCUCUCGGAUGCGGAAUGUCAUGCAUGGGUGCGGGGUCUCGGCCUCUGCUUGCCCAAGCUAUGCAUUCGUCCCUUGACACGAACGACUGUCGCGGCCGUCUUGAUCCCGUCGUAGCGUACGUGCUCGAUGGGGCUCAUGCGGCCGUCGGCGUCGUCGAGGAAUGCUACCUGGUUGAUCCUGCCAGUAGUCAU
This 348-nucleotide unclassified non-coding RNA is filed under the name Protorhus longifolia. RNAcentral describes it as "partial external transcribed spacer". Lineage: Eukaryota; Viridiplantae; Streptophyta; Magnoliopsida; Sapindales; Anacardiaceae. The record is from RNAcentral.